RNAcentral lists this ribosomal RNA (198 nucleotides) under Mantidactylus majori (Ivohimanita Madagascar frog). RNAcentral describes it as "partial 16S ribosomal RNA". It matches the Rfam family "Bacterial large subunit ribosomal RNA", at positions 1923 to 2124 of the family's 2925-position model. The record is from RNAcentral. Lineage: Eukaryota; Metazoa; Chordata; Amphibia; Anura; Mantellidae.
UUCAACGGCCACGGUAUCCUGACCGUGCGAAGGUAGCAUAAUCACUUGUUCUUUAAAUGGGGACUUGUAUCAACGGCAUCACGAGGGUUUUACUGUCUCCUUUUUCUAAUCAGCGAAACUAAUCUCCCCGUGAAGAAGCGGGGAUAUUUAUAUAAGACGAGAAGACCCCAUGGAGCUUCAAACCCAAUUACACCCCCC